RNAcentral lists this long non-coding RNA (482 nucleotides) under Hordeum vulgare. Its description in RNAcentral is "long non-coding RNA (HVUL_LNC006026)". Lineage: Eukaryota; Viridiplantae; Streptophyta; Magnoliopsida; Poales; Poaceae. The record is from RNAcentral.
GAUGUAUGAGAUGAUCAUGUUGUAAUAGAAAUAUCGACUUGCACGUCGAUGGUACGGCAACCGGCAGGAGCCAUAGGGUUGUCUUUAUACUAACGUUUGUGCUUGCAGAUGCGUUCACUAUUUUGCUAGGAUGUAGCUUUAGUAGUAAUAGCAUGACUAGCACGACAACCCCGAUGGCAACACGUUGAUGGAUGAUCAUGGUGUGGCGCCGGUGACAAGAAGAUCGUGCUGGUGCUUUGGUGAUGAAGAUCAAGAAGCACGUGAUGAUGGCCAUAUCAUGUCACUUAUGAAUUGCAUGUGAUGUUAAUCCUUUUAUGCACCUUAUUUUGCUUAGAACGACGGUAGCAUUAUGAGGUGAUCUCUCACUAAAAUUUCAAGACGAAAUUGUGUUCUCCCCGACUGUGCACCGUUGCUACAGUUCGUCGUUUCGAGACACCACGUGAUGAUCGGGUGUGAUAGACUCAACGUUCACAUACAACGGG